GCCUGGACUGCAGCAGCAGCAGCAGCAGCAUGAAAAUCCUCCUUAGCCCUUUUCUGGGAGAAGAGCCUGAUGACACAGCUAAUGCAUGGUUUUAAUACUAAAGCCACAGAGAUAAGAUUUCUACCAAAGGAAUGGAGGGGUAUUUCGUGACAGGACUAAAGAAACAAGAGCGAAAUUAGAUUUCCAGUGUUGGCACGAGCCCCCAGGUGGUGAGGCAAGCAAAAAUCUUUGCUCAAAAGGCAAUGUAUGACCCAGCCAUCCAAGCUCAUCAGGGACAAAGACUAACAUCAAGUACCCACCAUAGCCUUUCAGCCACAGGAAACGGAGAAGCAACUGAACAAGGGGGAAAUUCUGCCUUCAAGAUCCACAUUCCACUCUUUUUAACUUUUUUUUGCUUCCAUUCAUAGGAACAAAAAGCAAUACCUUCCAAGACACCCACAUACAAUGCCGCCAUUACUUCAAAGUUGUGUCACGAGUUUUAUUUUCAACUAGCUCUGUAAUUGGAGAAGGCAACGGCACCCACUCCAGUGCUCUUGCCUGGAAAAUCCCAUGGACGGAGGAGCCUGGUAGGCUGCAGUCCAUGGGGUCGCUAAGAGUCAGACAAGACUGAGCAACUUCACUUUCACUUUUCACUUUCAUGCAUUGGAGAAGGAAAUGGCAGCCCACUCCAGUGUUCUUGCCUGGAGAAUCCCAGGGACGGGGGAGCCUGGUGGGCUGCCGUCUAUGGGGUCGCAAGAGUCGGACACGACUGAAGCGACUUAGCAGCAGCAGCUGUGUAAUUUGCAGCUUUCCCGAGUCAUCUACAAGAUGGAAACCAUGUCUGUGAGUGAAGAUGAGAAUCUAUGAGUUCAUAUUCAUUCGUAUAUUAAAAAUUAGCUACAGAAGUUUUCAGGACAGGGACUUAUUUUGGGGAGAACCACCCUUCAAGCCACUGCAGAUGCUGAUGCCUGAAUAUUUGUCAAUGAAGACAGGACCUGAGUGCUCCUACACCAUACCUGACUGUUACAACUGGAAAACUAUGAACUCGGCAGGUUUGGUCGAGGUGCCCUCUGGCCCCUGGCACGCAGUUCUCCUGGUCUUCUGGAAGCAGAGAGAAAUAUACAUCCUGGUCUCUGAGGAGACUCACAGACAAUGGUGUUCACCCUCCUGGGAGCUCGCAGGCAGCCCCGUGACCUGCUUUGGCUGUUUGGAUGUGAACAGAAAUGAUGUCACUUCUGGGUAGAUGCAUUUCAUGGCAGGCAGUUCAUGAUCAUUUUGGAAGCUCAUGUUGGUAAAGAGGUGCCAUAAAGAGGUGCCAUACACAAAUCAAGUGGAGGAACACUGCUCUGUUGUCUUCUCAGCCCUUGUACAUGAGAAACCAAUUCCGUCUUAGGCCACUUAGAUUUCUCUCUUUGUUACUAUAGCGUGACUUAGACCAACUUGACUAACGCAGGAUCAAUACUAAAAUCUGAAUAAUAAGUAUGUUCAUCAAUGUUUCUAUCUCCUUGUGAUGAUUGAACUCAUUUUGAGGAAGUUAUCCAAUAGAUAAUCCAACAGAUGAUAGCUGCAAGCCGAUUCUCAAUAAUCUGCUGCAUUAUUUUAUGUCUGAUUAAUCUUUCCUUAGAAAUAAAGGAGUAAUUUCAACUUUAUUCA
Bos indicus x Bos taurus (hybrid cattle) is the source of this 1632-nucleotide long non-coding RNA. The record is from Ensembl. NCBI's taxonomy places the organism in Eukaryota, Metazoa, Chordata, Mammalia, Artiodactyla, Bovidae.